CCAGCAGUGAGCCCUGGGAAAGGGCAGAGAUUCUCAGAGGAAAGCAGGUCGUUGUGACGAUCGCAAUUCCUUGGAUCAACAUUGCUCUAAAGGAAGGUCUGUGCUCAAGAGGAUUUUAGGUGGUUCGUGGAAGAGAAAGGAAUGGAAGACUUGCUCAGGAUGAAGCGCAGGCUAAAAAGGACAGAGCACCCUGAUAGAAAGGCCAAUACUAGGAGCAUGUACUAGGAGAGGUGGAAUGUGCAUGCAACAAAUCUAGAAGGUUGCUUGGAAACAUUCCUGUGUGCCAGCCAGGAGGCAUCGGCAGGUGAGUCAAUUAGGUUCAUCUGGCUGUUGGAAAAUAACAGGCAUUCUGUUUGUUGCCUGUCUGUGGUCCGAAGAACCUGAUGGGGCUACAGGAACAUUGAGGGACAGGGACAAUGUGCGGUAGAGGGGAAGAGGGACACCCUCCAGCAUUGGCCUGGGAUGUAGUCAAUAAAGGGUAAGUGUCAGGGCAAGUGUCCCUGAGGCCGGAGCAGCAUAAAGCUAAGGAGUGUGCUGUGCUUGCUCUGGAAGCCCAGGUAGGUUCUCAGACUUACGGCCAUCUGGAUUUUAAGAGAGUUGUGGACGGCUGAAGGACUUGGAAAUGUCCAGGUCAUAAAUGUCCAGGGUAUCAGGCAGGUGGUUAAGCUGACAUUCUAAACACUGGUUUGAAAGGAUUUCUGAUGAAGUGGCAGUGUGUCAGUGAGAUACAGUGAGGUAGGAAACAUACCAAAAUAGUAUGCACACCAAAAUAAUAUGGGUGACAUACCCAUGUGGUGACCAAGAAAGAGUCCUAAGAAACCACUGUGUUUGAAUCAAGGAAUAUUUAGUGUGAAUAAUCAUGAUCCUCAAAAUUCAUGAUGGUACUAAGUAAGAGUGGUGGCCUUAGGUGGAAUAGUAUCAUGGAGAGGUAGGAUUAGUGCCUAUGUUACUGGACUCAGGGGGGUCACAGCUUGUGCUCCCAACAAGCCAGUUUGGGCCACCGCUAGGGGCCCCACAAACAGACCAAACCUCUCAACGGUCACCCACAUGCAGAGGGCUUAUGCCAGUUCCAUCCGGGCUCCCUAGCUGUUGGUCUAGUCUGUGAGCUCCCACAAGCACAGGUCAGCUGUCUCUGUGGGUUUCCCAGUCAUGAUCUUGACUCCUCUGGCUCGCACAAUUCCUCCUCCCUCUCUUCAGCUGGACUCCCGGAACUCGGCCCAGCGCUUGGCUGUGCGGGAUUCAUUAUUUCAACAGUCCAAUAGUCAAAGAAAGGAGCACAAAUGUGUUUUUAGAAUACAUUCAUCCCAGCUAGACAGGCUGUUUAUACCUAGUGACCCCAGGUACAGAGAGGGAUAGAUGGCUCUCUAUCCCUCUUUCCAACAUGUGGGCUCUGUUGGCGGUCUGCAACCAGACUGCAACUUUCUUAGUACUCCAAUCUGCAGAAGUGUGAGGAAUGCAUUUCUUGAGUUUAUGAGCUGCCCAGUCUUCCUAUAGCAGUCUGAACUAAGAUGAGAUCAGAAAAGUACCUCUUUUCCAGGCCACUUUCUUGUUUUGGUUUUGUUUUCUUGUUCGGAGAAAAAUACUAGAUCCCAGAGAGCAGUCAGAAGUGGGUUGCAGCCAUCUCCAAGAGGGAUGCCAAGGCUCUGUGCUUCCACUGAGGCAGCUGGCGGGAAAAGAAAAGAGAAGAGGAGCCAAGGAAUACUGAGAGGCAGGAACCUGAGACACUUGGUGCCAAAGCGGAUGAAGACGAGGAAGCGAAGUUUCUUCGAAAUCAGCACAGCUGGCAUGGGGCCAGGCUGGGAUGCUCCUGGGACUCUAUGGUCAAGGCAGCAGGAAGAAGACCCGGUUAAAGUCCGAACUUCUGCAUCGGCACUGCAGUGACAGACCCUGCCAUCUGUGGAUCCCUGGAGUUGCUCGUUAUUGAACCAUCGAGUACGGAAGAGUGGCUGCAGAAAGAACUCUGCAGUCAGACUCCCCGUGUUGAACCCUGGCUGUGUGCCUAGGUUAAACUUUCCUGUGCUGAAGUGUCUGCGUGUGUGAGGUGGGUAUGAUAAUAGUACCUACCUUAGAAGAUGGUUGUGAGGAUUCACUGAAAUAGUCUGUGUAC
This is a long non-coding RNA of Peromyscus californicus insignis, 2107 nucleotides long. RefSeq lists it as uncharacterized. The transcript is spliced from 4 exons. NCBI's taxonomy places the organism in Eukaryota, Metazoa, Chordata, Mammalia, Rodentia, Cricetidae. The record is from RefSeq and is a predicted model, not a curated record.